AAGAGACAGCAGUCGCCACGGUAAUACGAAGGGGGCUAGCGUUGCUCGGAAUUACUGGGCGUAAAGGGAGCGUAGGCGGACAUUUAAGUCAGGGGUGAAAUCCCAGAGCUCAACUCUGGAACUGCCUUUGGUACUGGGUGUCUUGAGUGUGAUAGAGGUAUGUGGAACUCCGAGUGUAGAGGUGAAAUUCGUAGAUAUUCGGAAGAACACCAGUGGCGAAGGCGACAUACUGGAUCAUUACUGACGCUGAGGCUCGAAAGCGUGGGGAGCAAACAGGAUUAGAUACCCCAGUAGUCCCUGUCUCUUAUAC
RNAcentral lists this ribosomal RNA (310 nucleotides) under uncultured bacterium. RNAcentral's name for it is "partial 16S ribosomal RNA". It matches the Rfam family "Bacterial small subunit ribosomal RNA", at positions 503 to 807 of the family's 1533-position model. The record is from RNAcentral.